AUACUUACUUGUCAGAGGAGACGCCAUGAUCACGAAGGAAGUUUUCCCAGGCGGUGCUCAUCCAUUGGACUCAGGACGUGCUGACCCUUGCGAUUUCCUCACUCGUGGGAAACUUGGCUGUAUGAUUUGUGGUAGUGGGUACUGUGUUCUCGCUUUCCCUGA
Molecule: small nuclear RNA, 162 nt
Organism: Loxodonta africana (African savanna elephant)
Lineage: Eukaryota; Metazoa; Chordata; Mammalia; Proboscidea; Elephantidae
Gene: U1
Rfam family: U1 spliceosomal RNA
About the family: U1 is a small nuclear RNA (snRNA) component of the spliceosome (involved in pre-mRNA splicing). Its 5' end forms complementary base pairs with the 5' splice junction, thus defining the 5' donor site of an intron.
Source: Ensembl